RNAcentral lists this ribosomal RNA (1023 nucleotides) under Dictyocheirospora pseudomusae. RNAcentral describes it as "SSU rRNA". It matches the Rfam family "Eukaryotic small subunit ribosomal RNA", at positions 75 to 1107 of the family's 1831-position model. The record is from RNAcentral. Lineage: Eukaryota; Fungi; Ascomycota; Dothideomycetes; Pleosporales; Dictyosporiaceae.
UAUACCGUGAAACUGCGAAUGGCUCAUUAAAUCAGUUAUCGUUUAUUUGAUAGUACCUUACUACUUGGAUACCCGUGGUAAUUCUAGAGCUAAUACAUGCUAAAAACCCCGACUUCGGGAGGGGUGUGUUUAUUAGAUAAAAAACCAACGCCCUUCGGGGCUCCUUGGUGAUUCAUGAUAACCUCUCAGAUCGCACGGCCUUGCGCCGGCGACGGUUCAUUCAAAUUUCUGCCCUAUCAACUUUCGAUGGUAAGGUAUUGGCUUACCAUGGUUUCAACGGGUAACGGGGAAUUAGGGUUCGAUUCCGGAGAGUGAGCCUGAGAAACGGCUCACACAUCCAAGGAAGGCAGCAGGCGCGCAAAUUACCCAAUCCCGACACGGGGAGGUAGUGACAAUAAAUACUGAUACAGGGCUCUUUUGGGUCUUGUAAUUGGAAUGAGUACAAUUUAAACCUCUUAACGAGGAACAAUUGGAGGGCAAGUCUGGUGCCAGCAGCCGCGGUAAUUCCAGCUCCAAUAGCGUAUAUUAAAGUUGUUGCAGUUAAAAAGCUCGUAGUUGAAUCUUUGGCCUGGCUGGCGGGUCCGCCUCACCGCGUGCACUUGUCCGGCCGGGCCUUCUCUUCUGGAGAACCGCAUGCCCUUCACUGGGCGUGUUGGGGACCAGGACUUUUACUUUGAAAAAAUUAGAGUGUUCAAAGCAGGCCUUUGCUCGAAUACGUUAGCAUGGAAUAAUAGAAUAGGACGUGCGGUCCUAUUUUGUUGGUUUCUAGGACCGCCGUAAUGAUUAAUAGGGACAGUCGGGGGCAUCAGUAUUCAAUUGUCAGAGGUGAAAUUCUUGGAUUUAUUGAAGACUAACUACUGCGAAAGCAUUUGCCAAGGAUGUUUUCAUUAAUCAGUGAACGAAAGUUAGGGGAUCGAAGACGAUCAGAUACCGUCGUAGUCUUAACCAUAAACUAUGCCGACUAGGGAUCGGGCGGUGUUAUCGAUUUGACCCGCUCGGCACCUUGCGAGAAAUCAAAGUGUU